AGCUUCCCCUCAGAAGCUAUAUCCACAGUCUCCCUAGAAAACUUCCCCUGUUUGGAGUUUAAGGAUUUCUUGGCCCAGAAAUCCAGCUCUUGAAGUUCCUCUUAGAUGGCUCACUUCUCAACCCCCUUCGUCUCCUUUCUCAGCAAAAGACUGAUCGGUCUUCUGGAAUUUUCCUCCCACCCUUCUGGCUUCUCCUUCUCCUGCAGAGUGACGCAGGACAACCUCCUUCAGAGCUCCUGCUACUGCCGCCAUUCUGGUCAUUUGUCUAUAUCAGAUGCAAAAGGAAGCGCUGCAGCCACCUCAAAUCGCCCUGGAAUGCUCUCCCAAAUGGGCCAGACUCCAUGUUUUGUCAACGAAAAUUGAACAUUACCUGGUGCACAGGUAAAAUACAUCCAUCUCUUCUGAAUGCAAACUCUCAGCAAGAGUAAGCCGAGUAAGCUUUGUCACAUCAAGAAGCAAGUGGGCAGACAGUGGACAAGAAAAGCCCUA
This 489-nucleotide long non-coding RNA is filed under the name Aotus nancymaae (Ma's night monkey). Its description in RNAcentral is "lncRNA (ENSANAG00000039159.1)". The record is from RNAcentral. Lineage: Eukaryota; Metazoa; Chordata; Mammalia; Primates; Aotidae.